RNAcentral lists this ribosomal RNA (484 nucleotides) under uncultured bacterium. Its description in RNAcentral is "partial 16S ribosomal RNA". It matches the Rfam family "Bacterial small subunit ribosomal RNA", at positions 30 to 507 of the family's 1533-position model. The record is from RNAcentral.
AUUGAACGCUGGCGGCAUGCCUAACACAUGCAAGUCGAGCGGAUAAAGGGAGCUUGCUCCUGGAUUCCGCGGCGGACGGGUGAGUAAUUCCUAGGAAUCUGCCUUGUAUUGGGGGAUAACGUCCGGAAACGGGCGCUAAUACCGCAUACGUCCUGAUGGUGAAAGUCGGGGAUCUUCGGACCUCACGCGAUCAGAUGAGCCUAGGUCGGAUUAGCUAGUUGGUGGGGUAAAGGCCUACCAAGGCGACGAUCCGUAACUAGUCUGAGAGGAUGAUCAGUCACACUGGAACUGAGACACGGUCCAGACUCCUACGGGAGGCAGCAGUGGGGAAUAUUGGACAAUGGGCGAAAGCCUGAUCCAGCCAUGCCGCGUGUGUGAAGAAGGUCUUCGGAUUGUAAAGCACUUUAAGUUGGGAGGAAGGGCAGUAAGUUAAUACCUUGCUGUUUUGACGUUACCAACAGAAUAAGCACCGGCUAACUUCGUG